AAAGCCAAUGUGGAUGUCACAAACUGUUUGAUGAUACCGAACCUCUCCUUGUCACAGCCAAGCACAUCUCUUUUAAGUUUGGAUGGAAGAGGUGACACUGGCAAGCGAUUAGUUCAUCAUUCAGCGUCUGAAACUCUGGCAUCUCGAGACUAUUACUCUAUGUUUCCGAAGAGCAAAAGUGGGAUGAUGAGUGAAAAGACUAGUACCAAGUGCCUAGCCUCAACCGGUGAAUGUCACUG
This 239-nucleotide unclassified non-coding RNA is filed under the name Hevea brasiliensis (rubber tree). The record is from RNAcentral. Lineage: Eukaryota; Viridiplantae; Streptophyta; Magnoliopsida; Malpighiales; Euphorbiaceae.